RNAcentral lists this ribosomal RNA (403 nucleotides) under uncultured bacterium. Its description in RNAcentral is "partial 16S ribosomal RNA". It matches the Rfam family "Bacterial small subunit ribosomal RNA", at positions 28 to 526 of the family's 1533-position model. The record is from RNAcentral.
GACGAACGCUGGCGGCGUGCCUAAUACAUGCAAGUCGAACGCAGUGGGGACGGGUGAGUAACACGUGGGUAACCUCCCAUCAGAGGGGAUAACACUUGGAAACAGGUGCUAAACCGAUACUGAUGGAUGAACUCGCGGUGCAUUAGCUGGUUGGUGAGGUAACGGCUCACCAAGGCCACGAUGCAUAGCCGACCUGAGAGGGUGAUGGGCAACACUGGGUCGAUGACACGCCCCAGACUCCUACGGGAGACACACGUAGGGAAUCUUCGGCAAUGGACGUAAGUCUGACCGAGCAACGCCGCGUGAGUGAAGAGGGUUUUCGGAUCGUAAACCUCUGUUGUUAGAGAAGCGGUAUCUAACCAGAAAGCCACGGCUAACUACGUGCCAGCAGCCGCGGUAAUUC